AAAUGCGAUAAGUAAUGUGAAUUGCAGAAUUCCGUGAAUCAUCGAAUCUUUGAACGCACAUUGCGCCCUCUGGCAUUCCGGGGGGGAUGCCUGUCCGAGCGUCAUUACGCACCCUCAAGCCCGGCUUGUGUGAUGGGCCCCGGCGUCUCGUUCGCGAGACGGGCCCGAAAGGCAGCGGCGGCGUCGACCCGAUGAGCCCGAGCGUAUGGGGACUUCUGUCACACGUUCGCGGUGCGGACCGGCGCCUGCUUGACUUUUCUGAUUAUCCAGGUUGACCUCGGAUCAGGUAGGGAUACCCGCUGAACUUAAGC
Molecule: unclassified non-coding RNA, 311 nt
Filed under: plant metagenome
Description: partial contains 5.8S ribosomal RNA, internal transcribed spacer 2, and large subunit ribosomal RNA
Rfam family: 5.8S ribosomal RNA (bases 1-104)
Source: RNAcentral